GCACUGAUAGUUCAGUGGUAGAAUACCUGCCUUCCAUUCCAUUCGGAAGCGAUAGCAUGUGGCACGGGUUCGAUUCCCGUUCAGUGCA
Violaceomyces palustris is the source of this 88-nucleotide non-coding RNA. The record is from the annotation of a GenBank genome assembly. NCBI's taxonomy places the organism in Eukaryota, Fungi, Basidiomycota, Ustilaginomycetes, Violaceomycetales, Violaceomycetaceae.